Molecule: small nucleolar RNA, 86 nt
Organism: Cornus florida
Lineage: Eukaryota; Viridiplantae; Streptophyta; Magnoliopsida; Cornales; Cornaceae
Product: small nucleolar RNA snoR116
Exons: 1
Source: RefSeq, a predicted model, not a curated record
AGGCAGUGAUGAGGAAAAUUAUACCAUCAAACUUUGAAAGCUUUUGUGCUUCUUGAUGUCAAUAAUAAUCCCAGCUCUCUGAGCCU